RNAcentral lists this ribosomal RNA (433 nucleotides) under uncultured bacterium. RNAcentral describes it as "partial 16S ribosomal RNA". It matches the Rfam family "Bacterial small subunit ribosomal RNA", at positions 29 to 507 of the family's 1533-position model. The record is from RNAcentral.
AACGAACGCUGGCGGCAUGCCUAACACAUGCAAGUCGAACGAGACCUUCGGGUCUAGUGGCGCACGGGUGCGUAACGCGUGGGAACCUGCCCUUAGGUUCGGAAUAACUCCCCGUAAGGGGUGCUAAUACCGGAUAAUGUCUUCGGACCAAAGAUUUAUCGCCUUUGGAUGGGCCCGCGUUGGUUUAGCUAGUUGGUAGGGUAAAAGCCUACCAAGGCGACGAUCCAUAGCUGGUCUGAGAGGAUGAUCAGCCACACUGGGACUGAGACACGGCCCAGAAUCCUACGCGAGGGAGCAGUGGGGAAUAUUGGACAAUGGGCGAAAGCCUGAUCCAGCAAUGCCGCGUGAGUGAUGAAGGCCGUAGGGUUGUAAAGCUCUUUUACCCGGGAUGAUAAUGACAGUACCGGGAGAAUAAGCUCCGGCUAACUACGUG